GAACGUGAAUAUCUUGCAAUGCUUUCAACGACCAUAGAAUGCAGCGCAACUCAGCCCCUGUUCGAUCUCGAAUUGGCGUAAACGCAUCUCGUGCAUGAUGUUUAGCUUGCCCUAUAUGAUCUCUUACAAUCCAAGCUCCUCCACACAUUGAUUGUUUAUUUAUCCAAGAAGAAUUCAAGUUGCAUUUAAGAAUACCUUCUUGGGGUUUCCACCAUUUUUUCCAUCCAAAUUGGAGGUGAUUGCCCAGGGAAUACUGUUGAAGGCUGCGUGUUCACCAUUGUCCAAUGCAAUUGCGUCUUCAUACGAUUUUUGAACUAAAACAUGAAAAUUUCAUACCUUUCCUUCGAAAAUCGU
Arabidopsis thaliana (thale cress) is the source of this 354-nucleotide long non-coding RNA. RefSeq annotates it as other RNA. The transcript has a single exon. The record is from RefSeq. NCBI's taxonomy places the organism in Eukaryota, Viridiplantae, Streptophyta, Magnoliopsida, Brassicales, Brassicaceae.